UACUGUUUAACAGGCAUGGACACUGAGGUGUUGGCACUUCCUUCAGAGGAUUCCUUGCCCUUACCCAGAGCACAGCAAAAUCCUCAAGAGAUGUUUGGUAAAUAUACAGUGUUUAAUUCUGAAAUCCAAAUACUGUAUAUAGAAUGUAGAUCAUUUGGUUAUAUUUUAUUUGCAGAACAAAACAUGGAGAGGCUUUCUGCCCUACUGGAUUCAAGCCCCUGUCCUGCUGAGCCUGAGAGAAGCGCAGCAUCAUCGUGGUCUGUUAGGCAGCAGAAAGCCUCUGACCGUUGGGAGGAAGCACGGCCGUACCACCUCAGAUGCCUUUUGGAAUCUGAGGCUGUUGGCAAGCCAUUGUGUUGCUUCUGCCACAAGCCGGCUGUUAUAAGGUUGGAUGUUCAUCAAUCAAAUAAUAGAAUGUAUCUAUGUACACUAAAAAAAGUAUAUCAUAUAAAUUGAGUGACUUGACUUGAGUGUUUUGUCUGCUUAGGUGCAGAGAGUGCCUUCCGGAGCAGUGGUUUUGUGGGGCCUGCGACAUGCAUAACCACAGCAAACGGCCACUCCACAACAGGGACAGCGUGGUGGAUGGCUUCUUUAAAGCCAUUCCCCCAUCCACAUGUAUCUCAAGAGGAGAGACUGGAAUAUAUGCCACACAUGAGCAAGAUCGCAUUUUACCCACAAUGCCAGCACAGCACUGCACCUGCCAGGUCCCUAGCUUCACAGUGGAAGCUGGGAAACCAGUCAUCUUGAUUACCAUCAAUGGGCGUUAUGAUUUGCAUUUGCCACGUUAUGUGUGCCAAACAUGCCUGCAGCAGUGGGCCCCUGAUGUGAGAGACCUAGUCAGGAGUGGAUAUUGGCCAGCUUCUGCAAAUGCUUCCACAAUCUACACGGUGGACCUCCUCAACACCUUUCAGGAGCUGAAGUUGAUCUCACCUGGAUUCUCCAGGCAAGCCCUUGCAAAAAUGCUGGAACAUCGCACACUGUGUGCAGGAAGAGUAAGUGACAUCAGCAAUACUAUUUAUUAUGCUCACCAAUAUUGUCAGCAAUUUUUUUUUUUUUUUUUUUGACUAUCUCAAAAAUGUUUUCCAUAUUCUGAUAUACUUUCUAGUCUGGACAGAUCAACGGGGAUGCCCUGCAGAGGAGCUUUCUUGAGUUUGCAUACGCCUCCUUUGAGAAAGACCAGCUCUGCUGUGAUACCCCUUUCACCUGCCCUGCCUGCACACCUGAAAUGGUAGCAGUGUCAGCAGAUGUCAACAGGAAGCUUUAUCGCUUUGGCCAUACUGGAAGGUGCACUUUAAGUUCUCUUUGGUAAUUGAGUCGUGACUGUAAGUGACAACAAGAGUAGGUAAUGGAUGUUAUAUAUUUUUCCCCUAGAUCUAAUGACACUCCCUUUUUUGAUGGGCUAUUUCUAGCCAAAGACAGUGAGGUGUCUGAUUUUGUCAACACAAUACAGAUGGCGGUGAAGAAUGUAAGUUUAAGCUAAGUUUAAACACUCAAAUAGUUCUGUUACUAAAGGAAUCAUUGCAUUUC
Molecule: long non-coding RNA, 1527 nt
Filed under: Gadus morhua (Atlantic cod)
Lineage: Eukaryota; Metazoa; Chordata; Actinopteri; Gadiformes; Gadidae
Description: lncRNA (ENSGMOG00000027967.1)
Source: RNAcentral